RNAcentral lists this ribosomal RNA (482 nucleotides) under uncultured bacterium. RNAcentral's name for it is "partial 16S ribosomal RNA". It matches the Rfam family "Bacterial small subunit ribosomal RNA", at positions 30 to 507 of the family's 1533-position model. The record is from RNAcentral.
AUUGAACGCUGGCGGCAUGCCUUACACAUGCAAGUCGAACGGUAACGGGCCUUCGGGUGCCGACGAGUGGCGAACGGGUGAGUAAUACAUCGGAACGUGCCCGAUCGUGGGGGUUAACGAGGCUACAGCUUUGCUAAUACCGCAUACGAUCUACGGAUGAAAGCAGGGGACCGCAAGGCCUUGCGCGGACGGAGCGGCCGAUGGCCGAUUAGGUAGUUGGUGGGAUAAAAGCUUACCAAGCCGACGAUCUGUAGCUGGUCUGAGAGGAUGAUCAGCCACACUGGGACUUAGACACGGCCCAGACUCCUACGGGAGGCAGCAGUGGGGAAUGUUGGACAAUGGGCGCAAGCAUGAUCCAGCCAUGCCGCGUGCAGGAUGAGGGCCUUCGGGUUGUAAACUGCUUUUGUACGGAAAGAACAGCCUUCUUUUAAUACAGGAGGGUCAUGACGGUACCGUAAGAAUAAGCACCGGCUAACUACGUG